RNAcentral lists this ribosomal RNA (497 nucleotides) under uncultured bacterium. RNAcentral's name for it is "partial 16S ribosomal RNA". It matches the Rfam family "Bacterial small subunit ribosomal RNA", at positions 28 to 507 of the family's 1533-position model. The record is from RNAcentral.
GAUGAACGCUGGCGGCGUGCCUAAUACAUGCAAGUCGAGCGAACGGACGAGGAGCUUGCUCCUCUGACGUUAGCGGCGGACGGGUGAGUAACACGUGGAUAACCUACCUAUAAGACUGGGAUAACUUCGGGAAACCGGAGCUAAUACCGGAUAAUAUAUUGAACCGCAUGGUUCAUUAGUGAAAGCCGGUUUUGCUUUCACUUAUAGAUGGAUCCGCGCCGCAUUAGCUAGUUGGUAAGGUAACGGCUUACCAAGGCAACGAUGCGUAGCCGACCUGAGAGGGUGAUCGGCCACACUGGAACUGAGACACGGUCCAGACUCCUACGGGAGGCAGCAGUAGGGAAUCUUCCGCAAUGGGCGAAAGCUUGACGGAGCAACGCCGCGUGAGUGAUGAAGGUCUUCGGAUCGUAAAACUCUGUUAUUAGGGAAGAACAAAUGUGUAAGUAACUAUGCACGUCUUGACGGUACCUAAUCAGAAAGCCACGGCUAACUACGUG